RNAcentral lists this small RNA (520 nucleotides) under uncultured Glomus. Its description in RNAcentral is "SSU rRNA". It matches the Rfam family "Eukaryotic small subunit ribosomal RNA", at positions 569 to 1092 of the family's 1831-position model. Lineage: Eukaryota; Fungi; Glomeromycota; Glomeromycetes; Glomerales; Glomeraceae. The record is from RNAcentral.
AGCAGCCGCGGUAAUUCCAGCUCCAAUAGCGUAUAUUAAAGUUGUUGCAGUUAAAAAGCUCGUAGUUGAAUUUCGGGACCAAUUUGUUGGUCGUGCCUCGGUACGUACUGGUAUUAUUGGUUUCUCCCUUCUGAAGAACCUCGAUGCCAUUAAUUUGGUGUCGUGGGGAAUCAGGACUGUUACUUUGAAAAAAUUAGAGUGUUUAAAGCAAGCAUACGCUUGAAUACAUUAGCAUGGAAUAAUGAAAUAGGACGUUUGAUUCUAUUUUGUUGGUUUCUAGGAUCGACGUAAUGAUUAAUAGGGAUAGUUGGGGGCAUUAGUAUUCAAUUGUCAGAGGUGAAAUUCUUGGAUUUAUUGAAGACUAACUACUGCGAAAGCAUUUGCCAAGGAUGUUUUCAUUAAUCAAGAACGAAAGUUAGGGGAUCGAAGACGAUCAGAUACCGUCGUAGUCUUAACCAUAAACUAUGCCGACUAGGGAUCGGAUGAUGUUAAUUUUUAAUGACUCAUUCGGCGCCUUACG